Molecule: transfer RNA, 77 nt
Filed under: Azoarcus sp.
Lineage: Bacteria; Pseudomonadati; Pseudomonadota; Betaproteobacteria; Rhodocyclales; Zoogloeaceae
Description: tRNA-Leu
Rfam family: tRNA
About the family: Transfer RNA (tRNA) molecules are approximately 80 nucleotides in length. Their secondary structure includes four short double-helical elements and three loops (D, anti-codon, and T loops). Further hydrogen bonds mediate the characteristic L-shaped molecular structure. tRNAs have two regions of fundamental functional importance: the anti-codon, which is responsible for specific mRNA codon recognition, and the 3' end, to which the tRNAs corresponding amino acid is attached (by aminoacyl-tRNA synthetases). tRNAs cope with the degeneracy of the genetic code in two manners: having more than one tRNA (with a specific anti-codon) for a particular amino acid; and 'wobble' base-pairing, i.e. permitting non-standard base-pairing at the 3rd anti-codon position.
Source: RNAcentral
GCCCAGAUGACGGAACAGGCAUACGUGCAUGUCUGAGAGGCAUGAUUUUGCAGGUUCGAAUCCUGCUCUGGGCACCA